Molecule: ribosomal RNA, 433 nt
Filed under: uncultured bacterium
Lineage: Bacteria
Description: partial 16S ribosomal RNA
Rfam family: Bacterial small subunit ribosomal RNA
Source: RNAcentral
AGCGAACGCUGGCGGCAUGCCUAACACAUGCAAGUCGAACGAGACCUUCGGGUCUAGUGGCGCACGGGUGCGUAACGCGUGGGAACCUGCCCUUAGGUUCGGAAUAACUCCCCGAAAGGGGUGCUAAUACCGGAUAAUGUCUUCGGACCAAAGAUUUAUCGCCUUUGGAUGGGCCCGCGUUGGAUUAGCUAGUUGGUAGGGUAAAAGCCUACCAAGGCGACGAUCCAUAGCUGGUCUGAGAGGAUGAUCAGCCACACUGGGACUGAGACACGGCCCAGACUCCUACGGGAGGCAGCAGUGGGGAAUAUUGGACAAUGGGCGAAAGCAUGAUCCAGCAAUGCCGCGUGAGUGAUGAAGGCCUUAGGGUUGUAAAGCUCUUUUACCCGGGAUGAUAAUGACAGUACCGGGAGAAUAGGCUCCGGCUAACUCCGUG